RNAcentral lists this unclassified non-coding RNA (240 nucleotides) under uncultured fungus. RNAcentral's name for it is "sequence contains ITS1, 5.8S rRNA gene". The stretch from base 192 to 240 matches the Rfam family "5.8S ribosomal RNA", at positions 1 to 49 of the family's 154-position model. The record is from RNAcentral. Lineage: Eukaryota; Fungi.
UUUCCGUUGGUGAACCAGCGGAAGGAUCAUUACAGAGAUCAUGCCCUCACGGGUAGACCUCCCACCCUGUGUUAUUUACGAUUGUUGCUUUGGCAGGCCGCCUUCGGGUGCUCUGCUUCGGCUGAGGUGCGCCUGCCAGAGGACCCCCAACUCUGUGUUUAGUGUUGUCUGGGUCUUAUUUAAUACGUUAAAACUUUCGACUACGGAUCUCUUGGUUCUGGCAUCGAUGAAGAACGCAGC